Molecule: ribosomal RNA, 465 nt
Filed under: uncultured bacterium
Lineage: Bacteria
Description: partial 16S ribosomal RNA
Rfam family: Bacterial small subunit ribosomal RNA
Source: RNAcentral
GACGAACGCUGGCGGCGUGCUUAACACAUGCAAGUCGAACGGAAAGGCCCCUUUGGGGGUACUCGAGUGGCGAACGGGUGAGUAACACGUGAGUAACCUGCCCUUGACUUCGGGAUAACUUCAGGAAACUGGGGCUAAUACCGGAUAGGAAUCCUUGCUGCAUGGUGGGGGUUGGAAAGCUUCGGCGGUUUUGGAUGGACUCGCGGCUUAUCAGCUUGUUGGUGGGGUAGUGGCUUACCAAGGCUUUGACGGGUAGCCGGCCUGAGCGGGCGACCGGCCACAUUGGGACUGAGAUACGGCCCAGACUCCUACGGGAGGCAGCAGUGGGGAAUAUUGCACAAUGGGCGGAAGCCUGAUGCAGCAACGCCGCGUGCGGGAUGACGGCCUUCGGGUUGUAAACCGCUUUCAGCAGGGGCGAAGCUUGUGGUGACGGUACCUGCAGAAGAAGCACCGGCUAACUACGUG